RNAcentral lists this ribosomal RNA (349 nucleotides) under Terebra archimedis. RNAcentral's name for it is "partial 12S ribosomal RNA". Lineage: Eukaryota; Metazoa; Mollusca; Gastropoda; Neogastropoda; Terebridae. The record is from RNAcentral.
ACCGGAGUACUAUGAAUACUAUAAAUUUAAAACUCAAAGAACUUGGCGGUGUUUUAGACCACUCAGGGGAACCUGUCUCGUAAUCGACAAUCCACGUUGUACCUGACCUUUCUUUGUUCUCAGUUUGUAUACCGUUGUCGUCAGGUAACUUUUUAGAAUGUAGAAGUUGGCUGGAGAAAUAAAUGAUUUAGUACGUCAAAUCAAGGUGCAGCUAAUAGAAAGGGGAGGAUGGGUUACAAUUAUUUAUUUAUAAUUACGGAUUAUUAUGUUAAAGCGUAAGGAUAAGAAGGAGGACUUGAAAGUAAAUUAAAUUUAUAAAAAUAAAUUUGAAUAAGGCUCUGAAACGUGU